Patella vulgata (common limpet) is the source of this 74-nucleotide non-coding RNA. NCBI's taxonomy places the organism in Eukaryota, Metazoa, Mollusca, Gastropoda, Patellidae. The record is from the annotation of a RefSeq genome assembly.
GGCCCCUUAGCUCAGUCGGUUAGAGCGCCGUGCUAAUAACGCGGAUGUCGUGGGUUCGACCCCCACAGGAGCCA